ACUGUCUGAAAAUCGCCUUUGGCCUCUCUCCCGAUGGCCUGAGGCGAGAUAAUGGUGCCCACAGCAAAAAGGAGCAUUAAGCUUAUUGCCCUCAAACAUGAAGAGUGUGCAAUGAAACCCAUGCUCCUAUAUCC
Molecule: small nucleolar RNA, 134 nt
Organism: Sceloporus undulatus (fence lizard)
Lineage: Eukaryota; Metazoa; Chordata; Lepidosauria; Squamata; Phrynosomatidae
Product: small nucleolar RNA ACA64
Exons: 1
Source: RefSeq, a predicted model, not a curated record